CCCAGGUUGAGGCACUGGUGACUGCUACCGUCGAUAUAAAAGGCGCGACGCUUCUUCUUGAAGUCAGUUCACUUGGAGCCUUGCUACAGCCAACAUUAUGAAGGUAAUGACACUGUCGAUGAGCGUUGCCCUCCUGGUGGCCUGCUCUUUUGCUGAACCUGAUGCAAGUUCCUUCUCCACUUACCCUUACGUAGGUGGAAGCUAUGCGCUUUCCAGUUCAGGCAUUGGAGGAGGCUUCGGCUCAUUUGGUGGGGGAACACGUUACGGUUCCUUUGGAGGUGUUGGUGGAGGCUACGGUUUCGGAAGGGGCCCCACGAGUCAUUCCAUUUUCAACUUUGGAGCGCCCCAGGGUAGAUAUGGAGGCAGUUUUGGACGCGGCUUCGAUAGAAGUUACAUCGGAGGAUCCUCUGGCCUAGGUUUCGCUGGUAACUUCCAAGGUUGAAGACUCAGUAAAAACUCCUUUCGGAGUUGUUACAGUGGCAGCUUCAUUGGCAGUGUUUAAGGUAGCGGCUCCACUGGCAAAGUCGGUGUUUUAUAUUGGAAAUGAAUACGGGAAAUGUACGAACAGGUGAACGUAUAGAUUCAAGAAAGUCUGACACCUUAUCGUUAUAUAUAUUUUUUGGUUCAGCACUCACAAAACAACUUUCGUAUAAAAUAAUUUCAAAUAAAAAAUUUAAAGUAAAUUUAAGUGCCGUUUGAUAUGACGGUAUAAGUCCCAGUCGUAUGAAAUUGGACUAAAUACAUAUCAGUAGCAUUCAUGUCUGAAUCAAGGUCCGAAUAUGCACGUCUUUUUUGUAUUUGAUUAUUAUUGAUGUAUUUUAGAAGCAAAAAUAAAGAUUUGUAUUAUGAA
Molecule: non-coding RNA, 850 nt
Organism: Procambarus clarkii (red swamp crayfish)
Lineage: Eukaryota; Metazoa; Arthropoda; Malacostraca; Decapoda; Cambaridae
Source: RefSeq, a predicted model, not a curated record